ACCACCGAUCCUCUGCUCCCCGGCCCGUCCUUCCCCGGGCGCCACUGCAGAGAGAAAGCGGAGGAUGCGAGCGAGGUUCUGCAUGAACAUCCCAAUGACUGAAUGAUAACUUCAUUCUUGCUGAGGAACCACUGGGAACCAAUCUUCUGAAUGUCACUUUUACCACGAGUAAAUCCUGGCUUCAGACAUGUAGUCUGUUAAUCCUCUCAUUUAAAAACAAAGACCUAGAGGUCCUUUACAGGAGGAGAUAUGAUUUUGCAUCUCCUAAGGACACAACUGCAUGGGCAACAAGCCAAUCAACUGGAGGAACUGACUAAAGAACAUCUGUUGCUCCAGCAGUGAAACAGCUGAAGCAGGUGAAAGAAUGGAAUACCAUGAAUCCUAAUUGGGUCUCCCUUGAAAGAACAGGUGGAGUGUGGUCAUGCAGCACGUAAUAUGUUUCCUCAGGGUCAUGUAGACAAGAGGACACUUCGGACAGCACUCUUCAGCUGGAAUGAACAGUUACAAAUGAAGGAGCAGGCGGAACAUCAGCCAUAAUAUCAUCUGGGAAUCUCUUGAGUGACUGAAUAUGUAUUUUUUUCAGUCAGCAAAGUUCCUUUGAUUACAUCAGACAACAAGAGAGGGAGGGAGGGAGGAAGUGAGAACAGGUCCACACAAGUGACUAAUGCGGGAGUGUUGAUCUUGCCUGUUUGCAUUUUGGGCUGCGCGUCCCCUCAGGAGCCCUGAUGAGCCUCUGGAACUGUCUGUAAAGCAAAUGAGUGUCUUGGCUGCAUGCAGUGAAGGAAGAGAGUACCAGUCAAGUACCUCAGUCAGUGAGAAGAGCCCAUAGUCCUGAAAGUGGAACUGAUGCAGUGGGGACAACAGCAGGGUCUUAUGGGGCCCAGGAAAGGGACGCUCCAAGGACUAGAGCGCAUUCUCCAGGGAACUGUCCUGUUUCAAAACAGCCUUCAUCAGGACUUCACCUUACAUGAACUUAGUAUAAUCACCAGUUGAUUCUACGUAGAUUUCCAAGACAGAAACGGUUUAGCAAUUAUAUGGAACUAUAUAUUGUAGGGUGACAAUAGCCUUUACUUCUGUGAUUAAAGUAAUUUCAGUGAACAAUUCAAACCUGUUAGCCCACAGAGAUCAUC
Aquila chrysaetos chrysaetos is the source of this 1130-nucleotide long non-coding RNA. RefSeq lists it as uncharacterized. NCBI's taxonomy places the organism in Eukaryota, Metazoa, Chordata, Aves, Accipitriformes, Accipitridae. The transcript is spliced from 3 exons. The record is from RefSeq and is a predicted model, not a curated record.